AAUGACUGAAUCUUGGGUGGGGUGGGAUGAGUGGUGCAGGGUUUUUUGUUUAAUUCCCAGAUGAUUGUGAGGUGGAGCCAAGAUUUGAGACCUUCCAUGGGAAGAUCUGAAAUUCGGAGCUAGAAAGGCCUCACCAAGGAGGCUCAAGUUUUACAGCUUACUGUAAUUUAAUAGUUGAAACUUCAGUGAAGCUCAGUUUCCCCAUGUGUAAAAUGGGACUGAUGACAACGUUCCUCAUAAAAUCCAUGGGCAAAAUCCACACAGUGCCCUGCACUGUGCCCAGCACAGAGAUGGCUCCAGUUAUUGGCAGUAGGACAUUCAUUUAAAAUAAAGGGCUCUUCCAGGUCAAGGAUUCAAUGACAUGGAGCUCAUUUCUGGAAGAUGUAUGAUACUCUCGCAUCUCUCGGAUUAUUAAAGUAGGGCCAGGUAUGGUGGCACACACCUGAGAUCCCAGCACGCGUGAGGCUGAGGCAGGAUGAUUGCCAUGAGUUCAAGGCCAGCCUGAAGUACUUUUUGAGAUCCUGUCUCAAAAAAAAAGCACGUAGGAUUUUUAUAUGCUCUUACCUAAUUUAUUAAAUUUUUACAUUCAUUUUUGAAUCAUUAUUACAUCCAUAUGGCUCAAAAUCAUAUGGGUGUUCCCUGGGUGGGACAGUCGGAGCCUGGUGCCCUCCAGCACUAAGGAGCCUGCCCAGGACUUUCUGGGCCUUGGGCUGUGUGGGCAACAGGGAGGGCAGGAGGAGAGGCAGGGAAGGAAGGAAGUGUGGCCAGGGGCACAGGUCCUAGGGAGCAGGUGCUGGGGGAACCCUUCCUUGGGGGGAUUCAGAAUUCCAGACAGAGGUGGCAAAGAGAUUUUAACCUCUGUUCCUGCUCAGGCACCCUCUGGGUUCCCUCUGGAUUCUUGACCUGUGACCUGCUUCAAUCCAGGGACUUGGGGCAAGUCACCUUCUCACCUGUGCCUCAGUUUCCCCAAAUGCAAAAUGAUUAGACAGCUCCUCUUUGGCAGCCUUGGAGUAUCCCCAAAGGAGUCUAUGGGGCACCUCUCAUCUUGUCAAGAGGACCUGGAUCCUGUUCUGACCAGAGUAUAAUUCACCCAUCACAGCCCCCAUACUUCCUGAGCUGGGAGCUGUUGACUUGCUCUGAAAUUCAGGCUCCUCCCCUGGAUUCCUGUCUCCUCUGCCACCCCAUGCUUCCUUCCUUCUGUGCAGUGUGGAGUCAGGACCCUACCUGGUGGGUCCCAGGGGGAGCCCUGGUUCCUGUCCGACAUCUCCUGUUGCUAUGAGGCCCCACAGACGGGGCAACCUCUUCAUCCUUGAGCCGGCUCCUGCUGCCUCCCUGGCACUCAAGACGCUUCGAAGGCUGCUGGGCAGUUAAUCCCUUAAUGCUGGUCACAAUGGGAUUGCAGGGGCGGUGGGAGGUGGUCUCCAUGGAAACUACAGACCUCCCCAGGACCCAUGCAAGGACUUAGCCACAGGGCUCAGCCAGGGGCUCAAAGAGACCCGGCUCCAGUGGGAGCACAGGACAGAGAACCUGCACUGUCUCUGGGUCCUCCUGCUAAACUUGCAAGCUGCAGUCCCAGGCCUAGUCCUGUCCCCUUUCUGAGCCUCAGGGUCUUCAUCCUCCAUUUGUGGGGCUGGUCCUCAGCCAGCAGCUUUUCUAAAGAAUGCAAUCUACAGCGCCCACCAGACCUGAGUUUGAAGCUUGGCUUUCCCCUCUUGGAUGGCCCUAGGCCCAGCAUUUCACUUCUCUGAACCUCAGUCCCCCAACCUAUAGGGUGGGCACAAUAAUGUCACUUGGCAUCACUGUGAGUCUGUCUGCUGGAGUGACACUCAGUGAAGCCCCAGCCACAAUGCACAGCCCCUCCCUGGCCACCUGCAGAACCCUGGCCCCAGCUCAUCAUCUUCCUCUGUCCUCCCUCAGCCCACAGAGCUUUAGACAUCACAGCUUAACCCAAAGAUGACUGACUCCUCUGGCCUGUGACCCACUGACCCGCACAUGCCCAGGUCCCAGCUGGCACUUAGGCUGAGGCAGGAGAAUCUCCAGUUUAAACUCAGCCUGGUCAAUUUAGCAACUCAGGCAGACUCCGUGUGAGAAAAAAAAUUUUUUUAAAGGUGUUUUUUUUUCCAAAAAUUUAAAAAGGCUGGGGGUGUAGCUCAAUGUGAACUCUCUGGGUUCAGUCCCCAGUACUGGGGGAGGGGGGACCCACAGGCAGCUGAAUUGAAAUUUGGGAUAACCAGUGACUGAUUUUUAAAGCAUAAGUAUAUCCCUAAUGCAUGGGAUAUACUUUAAAAGUUUGCGCUUUAACUCAAAUCUAAAUGGAACUUAGAGGUCUGUAUUGUACCUGACAAUGAUUCCCUUGCUCACCUGGCUUGUAUUUUGGUGGGAAGGUGAGGCAGAGACAAUGAGCAUGUUCAAAAAAACAAGUAAAUUCUAAAAAACAGUUAAGUGCAGCAGAAACGGUGAAACAGCAUGCCCUGGCAGCACAGGGACAGGCAGGGGGCGUCUUUAUCUAGGGUGAUCCGAGCCGGGGGUCCCUGCCUGCUGGGAAGUUCUAGGCCAGAUGGAGAGCUGCCCUGGAAGGUUCUUUGGGGCGAAGGCGGCCCAACCUGGGCGGACCGUGAGCGGCCCAGGGCUCCGAUGACGCACUGGGCGGCGAGGUUGGCUGUGGGCUUCACAGACCUUCGCGAACCCUUAGCCCCACCCCUGGGACAAUCCAAUGUCCUCUAAGGGCAGGGAGCCCGGGGAAGGGGCCAAAGGAGCUGUGCGGAGAAGCGUGACCACCCGGCCAGAGCCGGGAGCCCUGACACGCUUUCACCUACUCCACCCGUGGCCCUGUCCCGCGGCUGCCAGCCCGCACUGGGCUGGCCCGGCCCCCCUCACAGAGCGGGAGGGCCGCUGGAAGGAGGAGGUCCCUAAACGUCCAAGACUGCGGUUCCCGGGCUCCCUCUCGUGGCCAACUCGGACACUAGCGCUCAAAAACUUGUAGAUAGCUACACGACCUUCACCAACCACAGCGGAGGCCGCGCUAAAAUCCCACCAAUCACAGGCCCAGAUGUACUACGACACUCCAAUUCCCGCCCAACCCCGCUGGCACGAUCACCAAUCAGAAUGCACGAUUUAAAAACUAGUUCCCUGGGCCUUCUCACCGCGGCUCUUUGACCUCUAUGAAAGUUUGUUACCAAUAUUUGGUGCCUGCUUGCAGGCGCCUUUAAAGAAGGUCCCAGGCUUUGUGCUGGCUCCACGGAGAAGCCCAAGCUUGCAUUGAGGGGCAUGGAUGAAGAUAUUGCCAUCAUUAAAUACUAUCCCUCCCCCAUUAUGAAAAUUGGUGUAGGUUGGGGGGAGCGAGGGAAAAGUGUGACCUUUGGAGAGGACACGCAAAGCCUUGCGCAGUAGGAUGGGACCCUUCUCCCUGCCCGGUGGUAAAAAGAAUAACAGUAACCUCUAUCUGUCAUAACCAGCACCCCUCCCUCCCCACCUCAGUUAUCCAGGCCCAGAUCCUGGGUGUCACUAUCUUUGUGUUCCCCCUCCUGUCCUUCCUAAGCCAUCAGAAAACCCAGUGCUUGUCAUCUCCAGCAGUAUCUCGAAUUUUCAUUUUUCCAACUCCUCCACUGCCAUCACCACCGGAAGUCGGUCAAAGGCUCUUCCCUUCCCUUCCACUCUCCCAGCGCCUUUACCACCCACUCUCCAGCCAGGGCCCGAGUGGUGACCUUGUACAAUCCUGCACAGAAUCGAGUUCCUCUCCUACUUAAACUUUUAUGACUUCCUGGGCACUUAUAAUACAUUUCAUGAAACUCCUGUCAUGGACAGGGUGGCAGGACACAACCUUCUAUGUUCCCACAUCUCCGAACUCAUUUCAUUCCACUUGCCUCUCUCUAGGGCACUGGCCUUUUCUGCCCUCUCCAGUUUUUCUUUCCUGUCUCAGGGCCUUUGCACAUGCUUUCCUUGUCCUUCUACCUGGAAUAUGAUUUCUCCGUUUGUUGGCACCAACAAAAAAGAUCCUUGAGAUGGGGCCCUAAUUGUCCAUCCCUGGGAGGGCUUCCUUACAUGUUUAUCUAUGUUCUCUCUCUCUCUCAUCAACUCACUUUUUAAAAAAAACUUAGUUUAUUUUAGAAGGAAAGGUUAUUGCUACCUAAUGAAACAUCAACAUCAUAAGUAGAAAAAAAGGGAAAAUAAACAGAAUGAAAUAAACCAUUGUAGUAUAUUCUGAUUUAAUACUGUUUGCCUGCCAAAGUUUCUGGGCAAACUUUUGUUGAAAAAGGACACCAAAAAGCUGGUUGAAAUGGCCAGAAUGAUUGGAAGCAGCACCAUGUUGAGGCUGAGGAUGCAAAUUCUAGAAAUUGAACUCCUGGGCUUGAGUUCUGGUUCUGCCAUGGACUAGCUGUGUGGCUCUGAACGAAGUUAUUUAACUUUGUUUCUGUUUUCUUUUUCUCUCUUUGUUUUCUUUUGGGGAGUACUGGGUUUUGAACCCAAGACCUUCUACACAUUAAGUAUGUGGUCUCUCACUGAGCUAUAUUGCCAACCCUGUGUCUGUUUUCUUAUUUUCAAGAUAGAGAUGCGAAGUGCAUGUGUCACUGGGUGGUUGUGAGGGUAAUUGGUGUUCAUGUCUCUAAGGGGCUUAGAACUGUGCCUGGCACAAGGUGAGUGCCGGGGGGGUGAUAGCUAUACAAGGGCGGGAUGCAGAUCCCAGCGACUAUGGAGAAGUGUUUGAACUCAGAGAAGAGGAAGAAAAACUCCUCCACACUGGUGAAACUAGACACCUGGAUGGUGUAGAUGAGGAGAGCUGCCUUAGCAGCAAGAGACUCGACAAAGUCCUGGAGGUUUUACUCAGCACAGCUGUCCACGCCCGAUCUCAUGUCAUUGGUGAGAACACAGACCUUGGGCCAUGUAGGGGCAACUGCAUGUGGUUUUUAACAGGGACACUUAAAAUUCUCCUAGCAUGGGACAGAGUGAGAAAACUAUGUACUCUGAAGAAUAAUUGAAGAUCUGAAGGAGGUUUGGGUUAGGUACUGGGGAAGAAGAGCAAGGCCUUGGAGUGGAGUGGUCAGGGCACAGCCUUUGAAAUAUAUCAAUGUGCCUUUUAUGUAGCUGUUUGACCUUGUGAAAGUUAUAAGCUCUUCAAGCCUUAUGUGCUUCAUUUACAAGGUAGGAAUCAAUAAUAGGUCUUCUUUAUUGAUUGCUUUGCAGAAUAAAUGUGAUAAUCCAUGUAUACCUUUCGGGUAGCUACUCAGCACAUAGUUAUGUUAUUUGCUGAAUUCAAAGUGGUUUUCCCUGGAAAAGAGGCCCACUGAUUCCGACAGCCCCAGAGGAUGAGCCAAGGUGCUGGGAUUACAGGCUUGUGUGUGCCGCCACACCUGGACCUUCGGAAUCUGACUUUUAUCCUCGCUUUCUUUGUCCCUUGCUCUUUCUGCCUUGGACGUUGAUAUUUGGCUGGAGAUAUACAGCCACAGCGGACAAUGAGGAUGAAGAGCUACUGGGAGGACAGUAGUUGGAGGGAUCCCGGAUUGCAGAGGAUGCUCUGGGGCAAGGUGGUCCUACUGAUCAUAGAGUGCCUACCCCUGGACCUUUCCUAAGAUGGGAGAGUCCUUCUCUCUUGUUAAACCACCAUUAUUUUAUGUCUUAGCUACUCAUGGGCCCAUUGUAACUGCUGAUAGACUGAUUAUCAGUCUGCUCCUGUUUGAUAUUUUUAUUGCAGACCUAAAUAAUGCAGUAAGACAAGAAAGAAAUAGCCUAUUGGAGAAUUCAGCAAGGUUGUGGGAUACUUUCUCAAUAUGUUGAAAUCAGUUGGUAUAUAUAGUAGCAACAAAUUAGAAGAUGCAAUUAAAGAAAAACUUUAUGAUAGCAAGAGUGAUAACUUACCUAGAAUUUAAUCUAAUAUAAAUUUUCCUGUAUUAAAAUGAUCAAACUCCAGAGGAAACAUUAUAAAUAAUCGACAACUAGAAUCACAUCAAAUCAAAGAGCUUCUGCACAACGAAAGAAACCAACAGAGUGAAGAGAUAACCUACAGAAUGGGAAAAAAGUUUUUACCAGUCACUCCUCAGACAAAGGGCUUAUAUCUACAAUAUAUAAAGAAUUUUUUAAAAAAUCAGCCCCCCCCAAAAUGAAAGACCAACCAACAAUGGGCACCUGAAAUGAACAGACAUUUCUCAGAUGAAGAAAUAGAAACAGGCAAUACAUAUAUGAAAAAUGUUCAACAUCACUGCCAUUUGAGAAGUGCAAAUUAAAACACAACUGAGAUUCCAUCUCAUUCCAGAAAGAAUAGCUAUUACCAAGAAAUCAACCAAUAAUAAAUGCUGGCGAGGCUGUGGGGAAAAAGGAACACUUCUCUGCUGUUAGUGAGAGUAUAGACUGGUGCAACCACUAUAGAAAUCAAUAUGGAGAUUCCUCAAAACAGAUUCCAUUUGAUCCAGUUAUUCCCCCUUCUUCUCUUCCUGAAAGAGUUAAAAGCAUCAUACCAUAGUGAUAUAUGCAUAUCCAUAUUUAUAGCAGCAUAAUUUACAAUAGCUAAGUCAUGGAAACAGUCCAUAUGCCCAUCAAAAGAUGAAUGGACAAAGAAAAUAUGGUAUUUAUAUGCAAUGGAAUACUACUUUGCCUUAAAGAAGAAUAAACUCGAAUAUUUGUAGGAAAAUGGACACAUCUUGAGACCAUAGUUUUAAGUGAAAUAAAUCAGACACCCAAGUUUAAAUGUGGCAUUGUUUCUCUUGUGUGAGAAACACAAAGGGUAAGGAGCAUGAUGGAGGAUAGAUAUUGAGAAAUAGGAAGAACAUGUUCAAAUGGGAAAGGGAAGAAGGGAGGGGAAGAAGAAAGGGAGGAAGGGAAAGAAAUAAAAAGAGAAUGGAAUAAAAAAUAAAAAUAAAGCUUGUGUAAAUGGGGAGGUAUAUAAGGGUUGAAGGGAACAUAGGGGAAUGUGGAAAAGAAGAGAUGUGUUAUGUACAGGUACAAAUUCCCUAUGAUGAGUGUGAUCAAUAUGUAUAACAAAUAUAUACUAAUAAAAAGAAUAAAGUUUAAAAAAUGAUCAAACUUCAUUCAAAACAUAAAAAGACCUUAUAAAUGAAGAUUUAUGUAAAUCUAUUUACAGUUCAAUCCAAAAGAUCAUUAUGUAGAGGUAUCAACUCUUUCCAAAGUAAUGAGUGAAUUCAAUGGCAUUUCAAGAAAAAGCCCAUUAGGACAAAGCCAGUUACCACAGUGCUUGGCAAAUUGAAAACACUUAAAAAUAUGGUAAUUUUUAUGAUCCAAACCCAGUAGAGGAGACAAAUAUGCCAGGAAUCUCUAGCCUUUCUUCUGUCCUGUUCAACCUCAUCCUAAAAUUUAUAUUAGCUAACAAAGAGAACAGACAGCCCAGUUUUAAAGAACAGCUAUAAAAAGGGAUGGACAGAGCUGGGCAUGAUGGUGAACACUUGUAAUCCCUGGGAGGCUGAGGCUGGAGAAUCUCAAGUUGAAGCCCAAUUUGGGCAACUUAGCGAGAUUCUGUCUUAAAAUAAAAAAGCACUGGGAUGUAGCUCAGUGCAAAAGCCCUGGGUUCAAGAUUCAAUCCCUAAUAUUGAAAAAAAAAAAGGGAGAGUGUGGAUUGUUUCACAACAUGCAGAGCUACAGCUGCCCUGUCCAGCAUGGUGGCUACUGUGGGCACUUGAAAUGUGGCUGCUUCAAAUUGAGAGGUGCUGCCAGGCAUGGUGGCAAACAACUGUAAUCCCAGAAUUUGGGAGGCUGUGGCAGGAGGGUUGCCAUGAGUUCAAGGCCAGCCUGAACUACACAGAAGACCCUAUCUCAAAAAACAAACCAAAACAAAAUCAAACCAAACAAAUUGGGAGGCACUGUAUGUGUGAAGCGCACAUCAGAUAUAUACAUUUAUGUAUAUAUAUUUUGUUGUUUGUUUUUUAGACAGGAUCUUACUAUGUAGUCCAGGCUGGCCUUAAAGUCACUAUGUACUCCAAGCUGGCCUCGAACUUGCAGGGGUCCUCCUGUCUCAGUCUCUUCAGUGCUGGGAUUACAGGCACGUGCCAUCAUGCCUGGUUAUAUUUUAAAGACCUAAUAUACAAUAAAGAAAACUACUCAUUAACUAUUUUUAUUACAUGGAUAUUGAAAUGAUAGUUUAGAUAUAUAUUAAAUAGCAGGUUUAUUAUUAAAAUUAUUUUCAACUGUUUCUUUUUUGUUACUUUAAAAACUAAGCUUUAUUUUGGUAUUUUUAUGGCUUGUAUAUAUAUGUCCCCCCAAAGUCUCAUGUGUUCAUAAGUGAGGCUUUUCGGAGCUGGCUGGAUCUAGAGUGUGUGAUACUAAAUUAGUCCACUAAUUUGAAUUAACAUACUUCUGGGUGUGGCUGAAUGAAUUUACUUCAGAUGCCCCACCCUAGUGUGAGUGUCACCACCCAAAAGUCUUAUAGCCUGGAUGGGAUAAAAGGGAAGGGUAGACUGCUUGCUGCUUCCUGCUUGCCCUGCCAUGGACUGUUUCUCCUCCGCCAUGCCAUCCUGGCCUUGGAGCCAGCUGACUGUGGACUGAAACCUCUACAAAUUGUAAGCCCAAAUAACCCUCUUCUCCUUUAACUUUGAGUGUUGGGUAUUUUGUUCCAGUGAUGAGAAAAGUAACUAUGACACUGAACUGUAGAUACACUGACUUUUUUCAGAUUGUUGAAAUGUGGUUCCUGGACAUGAAUGAGUGGAUCAGCGUUGGAGGCCUCAAAAGAGGUUGACAGAGAUUUGAAAAUGGGAGACAAAUGAUGUCAGCAAGUGGGGCUGGGCUAGUUGGUUAAUCAAACAUGAUGAUGAUGAUAAUGAUGAUGAUGAUGAUGAUGAUGGCAACUGCUGUGGUCUGACUGAGCCCCUAGGGGCUCCAUGUGAAAACCUUAUCACCUGCUUUGUACUUAUGCUACAGAUAUUUGGAGGAAGGUCUUUGCAAGGCGAUCAGGUUGAGUGAGGUCAUGAGGGUGAGGGUGGGGCCCCACACUGGCUUUUGAGGCUUCAUGAUCAGAAGAGGCCCAAGCUGGCACCUGCAAGUUCUCCACGAAGUGCCUUUACCCAUGCUGUGAGGCAGCAAAAUGGACCUCAGCACGGGCAGAGCAGACGCCAGUGCUAGGCUUCUGGACCUCCUGGCCUUCAGAACAGUGAACUGAGGGAACUUCCAGUCUUUAUCAGUUACUACUACUACUCAGUCCCAGGCAUUUUUUUAUAGCAACAGAAAAUGGAGUAAGACAACAUCUUUAUCUCAAACCGCAGGCAAAAAUGAACUCCUAUGGUAAAGAUCUAAAUCUGGAAAGUAAAGUUUGAAUACCUAUAGAAGAUAUUUAGGAUAAUAUCUUUUUGAUUUCAGAGCACUGUAAAAUUUUAUAGAGCAGGCAGGCAUGGUGGCACAGACCUUUAAUCUCAGCACUCGAGAGGCUGAGGCAGGAGGAUGGUGAGUUUGAGGCCAGGACUACAUAGUGAGACUCUGUCUACUUUUUUAGAGCCAAACAAAAAAUAUAGCCUAAAAGACAUUUCGAGGAUCAUCAAUACCUACUUUGAGAAACUGUACUCUCUAAAAAAACAUUUCUACGAGUGCUAAAAGAAUCAGUACCUCUUACAAAUUGAUAAGGCAAGGUUGAUAAUGCAAUAGGAAAAUGAGCGAAGGCUAUGAACAACACACGGCAGAGGAACCAAAGGACAAACAGAGCUCUUCUCUCUCUAAAACUAGCCACUGUGUCAAUUUAAAAAUGCGGUAUCAUUUUGCACUCAUCUUCACAGUGGAGUGGACAUGAAGCAAGCAGAUCUCCCCAGCACACCCGACUGAAGCAGCGGAACUGGGCAAGUCAGCAGUUCCUAGUUUCUCACACGGGGGAAAAUGCCUUUUGCCCAGGAUGCAGAAAUCCCACUUCUGCAUAUUAAUCGUGAGACACUGUCACCCGCAGGCAGAGGAAUGGUCUCUGUAGGGUUACAAUAGUGACAAACUACAUACCACCCAAUGCCAAAAACCAGAAUAAAUAUACUUUCCGUAUCCAGACACAGCAUUUUAAAUGAGUGACCUAGCUAGGUGUGGUGUACACCUGCAAUCUCGGCACUCGGGAGGUGGAGACAGGAGCAUCCCUAAGAGUUCAAGGCCAACCUGGGAUACAUAGUGAGACUCUAUCCCCAAAACCCUAAAAAUAAAAAAUAAAAUAAAUGAGUGACCUAGUGGUAUUUGGAUCAGCAAAGGAAGAUUCGAAAAGCUACUACAUGGAGUAAAUUUUUUUUAAGUUACUGAUGGAUCCAUGCAGUAUACCAUUUAAAUAAACUUUCCAGAUAUGCAAGAUCGCGUAUAUGAGCACAUAUAGCAAAAAUCUAAAAACAUACGGUGUUGAUAAUAGUCAAAGGUUGACAUCAGUUCCCUCUGAGCUGAGUGUCAGGGUGAUGAGAUCAGGGAGGGAACUAGGUCUUCAAUGUCAGGUUUCAUUGGCCGAACAAGCAAAAAUAAACCCAAAGAAAACAGAGUCAUAGGGUAGAAUCUGACAAAACUGAGUAGUGAGUACACAGACUUUCACAUUGUUAUUCUGUCUUUUCUGCAUGUUUGUAAUAUUUCCUACCUAAAAGAGAAGGAAAGAACCAAGGGUGGUAGUGCAGGCCUGUAAUUCCAGCUCACUGGGAGGCUGAGGCAGGAAGAUCAUAAGUUUGAGUCCAGCCUGGGCAAUUUAGCGAGAUCCUGUCUCAAAAAUUUAAGAAAAACCAGGGGAUGUAGCUCAGCAUGAUGGCCCUGAGUGCAAUUCCCAGUACCCUUUAUAAAAAAAUAAAGAAGAAAAGAAAUGUUUUAAAAAAUCAAUUACCUUUCUCUAUAUCAACAACAUACAAUAUAAAUUAACGUAUAAUAAAAACAUGAUUUAGCUCAGUGGUUCUGGCGCCUGCCUCAAAAGCACAAGGUCCCGAGUUCCAUCCCCAGAACCAAAAAACGCAAAAAACAUAAUUUAAUUGAGAAAUAAAAACUUUAAAACCCUAUUGUUUAAACUCUCCAGUGAUCUUUUUAGACUGUAGCUAGGGAUACAUCUGAGACAGUGUUCCUCAGCUCAGGACGGGACCACGGCACUGGGUGUGGAUGUCAAAUGCGGAGCUGUCUGUGCUCAAGGCGAGGCCCUGAGUAGAGGGGGGGCUCUCAGGAGGCCUCUAGUUUUGGCCCUGCCACCGACUUGCUAUGCAGCUUUGCCUAGAAUCGCUCUGCCUAGGGGCCUUGGUUUAUGGAGCUAUUAGAUGGGCCCAGAAGCAGUCAGCAGGCCAAGGCAAGAGGAGAAUGAGCGAGGCCCAGUCUGAACCACACAGUGAGUCCCUCUCUAAAAAUAAGUGAACUCCAAAUUCCCAGGUUGAAGCCCAGAAUUAAAAUGCCUUGGCCAAUUCAUUUUAUUUUUCCUCCCUCAAGGAACUGUUUGUUUUUGUUGUUCUUUGAAACAGGAUCUUGCUAAUGUAGUUCAGGCUGGCCUUGAACUCACUAUGUAGCCCAGGCUGGCCUUGAACUCUCAGCAAUUCUCUUGCCUCAGGCUCCUGAGUGCUGGAACUGUAGGUGUGCACCACCAUGCCUCGCAAAGUAAUUUGUUUUGGUUUUUUUGUUUUUGUUUUGGUACUGGGGAUCAAACUCUGGACCUUGCGGUUUCAAGGCAGACGCCAGAACCACUGAGCUAAAUCCCCGGCCCUUGGAUUGGUUUUUUGGGUUUGGUUUUUAAAGAAAACCAUGCCGAGUUUGAGGUCAGCCUGGGCUACAUAGUGAGACCUUGUCCCCCACCCCAUCUCAAAAAAAAGAAAAAAGAAAACCAUGAUUUAUCUUGAGAGAGAGAGAGAGAGAGAGAGAGAGAGAGUUGCUGGAGAUUGAACUCAGGGCCUGGGGCACGCUAAGUAGCAUCUCUACCACUGAGUCACAUCCCCUAGCCUCACUGUUUACUAAAGCAGGUUCACAGUAGAAGAAUUACAGGGCGCAGGGGAUGUAGUUCAUACAAAACUGCAGAAAAGCAAAAUAAAAAAGAAUCAAAUUCACUCCCAAUGCCACUUAGGGCUCUCAGAAAGUCUGAAGAUAGGUAGCAUUUACAGAGCCUUGUGUGCAGAGCGGUACAAAGACAGCUCAUUUAGCUCCUCACUGAGGCUGAGGCUGGAAGGGCGUCAGGUCUGUUUCCACCCUCAUCCUACAGACUGAGCUCCAACUCCAGCCUCCCCGGCUCUGCAGCACAAGCUCUCAGACCCCCAUUUUUCCUCACCAAAGCUCCAUAAGCCUCCAGGUUCUCAUAUCUCCCCCACAGCAGCAAGGCCACUGCCUUCUCCAGUGACAAAAUCAGCACCUUCACUGCAGCAGGACCCCCUUCCUCCCCCAAACUCAGUCCAUCUUAUCUCCAGAAAAACUGAUCUGCCCCAGGAAGAGGAAAACGUAAGCCUCUGUCCAUCCCAGCUCCACCCCCAUAAGUCUCUGGAUUUGGGGUUAAUUCCAGACUGGAGACAGAAGAAUGGCUGUGUAAUUACGUUUUAAAUUGACUAUUGUUUUAUGUGAGUUCUGAUAAAGAACACACAAUGGCUGUCAGAUGGGGACUGGGAAUGAGACUCCCACAAUGGAGAAUUCUAGAGGACAUGUUUGGAGUUCUGGAGCCUGGGUCCUCCCAGGAGAUAGGUGACCCGGCAACAAGGGUGGGGACACCAGAGAUAAUUGAGGGGUGAGGAGCAGACCCAGGCAGGGAUACCAGCCCAGGGGCUCCUGCUAGGAGCAAUCCUUUCAGGCAUGGAAAACGGAGGCAGAAGAGUUAGCAGGGAGCUUGCUUGCUGCUGUGUAGUCCAAGAGACUACAGCAGCACUGCCAGAUAGAAAAACAGUGUGAGCCACAGGUGGAAGUUCAAAUGCUGUAGCAGCCAAAUUAAAAAGUAGCAAAUCUAAAAAAAAAAAAAAGUAGCAAAUCUAUGAAAUAGAGGAGAUUGCUCUUACAAAUAAUAAGCUUCCCCUUGGUCUUAGCAAUCAAGGGUCCCAAACUCAAAGGCCCUCAAUGCACAGAGAGGUAACAAAAAUGUAUAUAACAGGGGAGUAUGAUCAAAUUUCACACUUGUUAAAAGAUGCCACAAGCAAAAUGCACAUAUAUAUAUAUAUAUAUAUAUUUUGGUACCGGUGAUCAAACUCAGGACCUCGGGCUUGUGAGGCAGGCACGGUGCCACUGAGCUAAAUCCCCAGCCCUACCUUUCUUAGUAGAGCUUCAGUGUAGGAGCACUAAGGGACAGUAGGGACUGUGGCAAAUUAGAGAAAAUACACCCAGUCUAAAUUAGUUCCGGCAGACCCUGCCUCAUGGGUAUGAAGAAUCAGUGGACAAGAGCUUCCAAUUUUUUUAAAGAAGCUGAAAGUUGAUAUUUUUAAAUGUUAACAAUCUUUUCAAAUUUUAUGAACUUAAAAAAAUUGGUCCUUUAAACUCUGCAUCCUGUUUUGCCAAAGAGGAAAUUGAGGCUCUGAGUGCUUAAAUAUUCCUCCAGUUCACCGCAAAGACCAAUAAUUGGCUCAGUGGCUUCUCAUUCCAUUGAAGCUAAUAACCAACAACAAUGGUUCACUUCUGUUAUUGAAGGUUUGCUAGGUACCAGGUUCUGUGCUAACCCUGCUCGGAUGACACCUGUUUAGGAUGUCAGAUUUAAAGAGGGGGCAACUAAGGCUCAGAAAGGUAGAGAAAAUUGCUCAAAAUCACAUUAUGGGUCUUGAACCUGGGUCAGUGAUUUUGUUUGUUCUUUUGUUUUGCAAUACUGCAGAUUAAACCCAGGGCCUCACACCCAGCUACACCCCAGCCCUCUUUGCAUUUUGAGACUGGGUCUCACAGUCACUCAAUUUCCCAGGCUGAGCUUGAGCUCCCAAUCCUCCUGCCUCAGCCUCUGAGAGUGCUGGGAUUACAAGCGUGUACCACCAUGCCUGGCUCUGGGUCUGUGUUUGAUUACAAAAUUCUAGAUGCUUCCUCUUGCUACGCUCUCUUUCACCUCACCAAGCAGAACCCCAGAUGCCAGGUAGCCCGGUGCGGUUUACCUGGGGCUGUUCUGCCAGAUGAGGGGCUCAGGAGGGUGCAGCCUCCUGCACUUCGACACUUGCUUAACCCAGUCACCUCCAUUACAUCGUUCCUGUGAACUGGCUUCUAGGUUGGAUUUCAUCUGAAGAUAGAAUUCCAGUGCCUUUUUGGUUUUAUUUUCAUUUUAAAAACCAUGGGUGUGUCCAUGGUCUCUCAAUGUAUAGGUGAGGAAACUAAGGCCCAGGGGACAGCAGGUGCUUGAGACCCCUCUGCAGGUCAGGACCAGGGCGAGGACCAGGCCCUGGGUCUUCUGCUCCUAGUGCUGAGUCUGACUGGGGAGCUGCCCCAGGCAUCUGGGGCUCUCUCCUGGAAGGGCACCUGCCCUACCUAGGCUAUCUCAGUGCCUCCUCCGCCCUUCUUCUUGCUUGAUUGGGUAACUUUUGGACCUGUUCCUCCACCAGCCCUUCCUGAGGUGUGGCUGCCUCUGCUGCUGGUCCCAGGGAAUCCUGAAGCCUUGGCAGUGCGGCAGCCAGGGUUUGGCCGGUCCUAUGGCAGACAGUCAUCAAACAGUGGCUGUCUGGGCACAGGGAGCCCUAUUUACCCAGGGCAGGACCUGGACAGGGGCUGCCACUUCCUCCCCAGACCACUGGCCUGUCCAGCUGCUCAGCAGCCUGACUCAACUGUCCCCAUCUGUAUUUGCUCAGUUUGCAAAUAUUGGACUACUGUGUGCCUGGCAUGCUGGGAUGCGGCAGACAACAAGGCAGCCACGUCCCCUGCUCUAAUGGCACCUGCACUGGAGUGGAGGACCCAGAAGAUAAACAGAUGGUCAGAGCUUAACUUCAGAGCUGUAGAGGUUCAUGGGGUGGGAUGGGCUUACAUUUGGCCAAUUAAACAAGGCCUCUGAGCCGGGGACAACUGAGCUAAGAUCCAAAGUGUGAGAAGAAAUUGGUUAUGGGAAGAACUGGGGAGAAGGGGACCAUGGUGAGAACAAAGGCACCCAGUCAGGCAUGUGAUUAGCAUGACUGAAGGAUAACAGAAAGGUCAGGGUGGCAGCCCUGGAGAAAGCAAAGGGGAGAAAGUCAAGAGAAACCAUCAGGCAAGAAUCAGAGCCUGGGCCAGGUGUGGCCAUGCAUGCCUGUAAUCCCAGCACUCUGGAGGCUGAGGCAGGAGGAUUGGCUGUGAGUUCAAGGCUAGCCUGGGCUGCAUAGUGAGUUCAGGCUAGGAUGAACUACAUAGCAAGACCCUGACUCACAAAAAUAAAAAAUAAAAAAAAUUACAAAAGAAUCAGAGCCUGGGGCCUGUGUGGACAAAGAAAAGUGCUCAGGUUUUUAUGGGUUUUUUUUUUUGGUACCGGGGAUCAAACUUGGGACCUUGCACUUUCGAGGUAGGCAGCUUUGUUUUUGAAAACAAAGCCCUGGAGGAUCUUCGGCAGGGAAAUCAGAGUUUCUCAAACUCCUCUGGCUCUGGGGUUUAACUGGGCUUUUCCCCUUGUGUUUUCAUCUGUAUGUUUAAGUGUCACGGUUAUAUGCUACUUCUUGGUAUUUUCAGUUUUAGAUGUAUUGCAUUAACUUACUAGUAGAAAUGAUCUUGUCUAAUUAUCCUGAUUUGGAGAUCAGUCAGCAUUCAUUGUUUUCAUUUGCGGAACCAUAUGACUAUCAUUACUAUUCAGCAUUGCUGUCAUUACUGUCAUCCAAAGCUGCCAUCAUUGUUUGUGAACCUGAGCCUUUCUAUUCACUGUCUCAACCAAUACUCGCUGUGACAUUACAUCAGAAUAUCAUUAACACUUAACAGCUAGCGCAGCUCUGUGCUUGUGGAAGACUGUGGCAUCCAUUCUUUCCAUCAGCAGAGCUAUCUGGAGGGAUAAGCAGAAUCAGCAUUAUUAAUCCCAUUUUUGGAGGAGGACAUGGAGUCCAGAGUGAUAAAGAGAAUUCAUCCUCUUGCAGUGGGGUGCAAGGACUAAAAUAAAAUGAAUCUUCCACUAGGAAGGAAGGAGUUGGGGGUCCCCGGACAACUGUUUGGGUUUGUUUGUUACAUCAGCUAGUGUUUCUCUUACUAACACAAAGCCUGGGUUUAAGGCCUAGCUCUGCCCCUCAUGGGCUGUGUGAUUUGGGACAAGCUAUUUAACCUCUCUUGUUAUCUCUCCUGGGAAGUGAUCAGAUGACAGCAGCUACCUCGAUUAGUUAAUUAAGUGCUGAGAACAGUGUCUGGCUCAUAGAAAUACUACAGAAGUGAAAACAUAAACAGGAUCUAGGAAGUGAAUGAGGCAGUACCUAGACCUGUGCCUUCUGAUGCCAAGUUCAGUGUCUGGUCCCUAACUCCAGUGUGUGGUCCUUAUCACAGUUUCUUCCAUACCUGCCUAUGACCUCUACCUUACUUACCUGUAAUAGUACUUUUUUCAAGAAAUGAAAACAAGUCAAUUAAUUGUAUGAAGAACAAAUAUGCUAAAAUUUUUCAUUCUGCACUGUAAGGCUACAGUGCUCUAUGUUAUCUGAUUUGGAGUCCUAGAAACUUGAGACACUGCUAUUUGAUAACUUUUUUUUGGGGGGGGGUACCAGGGACCAAACUCAGGACCUUGCAUUUGUGAGGUAGUCACAGCACCACUGAGCUAAAUCCCUGGCUGCUGCUAUUUGAUAACUUUUAAUGAAGACUAUUGAAAUAUACUCUGGGAAUAAUAUAUCUGCUUGAAAACAAAACAGUGUGCUUUGAAGGCCCACUGCUUGUUUUUGUAAAUAAAGUUUUAUUGGCAAACGGCCACACUCAUUCAUUUAUUUAUUGCUUCUGGCUGUGGUUGUGCUACAACAGCAGAGCUAAGUAGUUGCCACAGAUCUCAUCUGGCCUGUCAAAUCUAAAAUAUUUACUGUCUAGAUUUUACAGGAAAAAGUUGCCAACUUUUGUACUAAAGUUCUAAUUCAAAACCCAUAAGAGUCAGUUAAAUAUCCUUCUAUUUACAGUUCAAUUUGUUCCACAUAUGGGUGUAGCAAAUUUUAACAAUUUCAUAUUUGUUAGCAUUUUACUUUGAAAAGUUUCAAGCCUAUUAAAGGUUAAAAGAUGAGAAUAAUGAACAAUGAUGUAUCUGUUUACCUCAAUUCACAAAUUGGUAGCAUUCUGUCACAUUUAUUUCAUCGCUAUGUAUGUUAUCUAUGCACUUUUUUAUAUAUAUUAAUUGGUACAUUUUAGGUAUACAAUACAUUUACAUUUAUUAUUGGGUGUUUGUACCUGAACAUGAUGUAUCUUAGUUCUUAUUUUUUUCCCCAUUACCUAUGCGCCUUUCACCCAUCUAUGCACUUUUUAUUAAAGCAUUUGAUAUAAAACUGUAUAUGCAAAUUCAUUAUACAUAUUUGGGGGUGUGUGUAUGACUCAUUAGCAGAGGUGGUCAAUUAUGCACCAAAUAAUCCAUGGUCCCCUUUGCAUGGUGAAAGUUUGUUUUGUUUUGUUUUUGUACCAG
This is a long non-coding RNA of Heterocephalus glaber (naked mole-rat), 17371 nucleotides long. The record is from Ensembl. Lineage: Eukaryota; Metazoa; Chordata; Mammalia; Rodentia; Bathyergidae.